Molecule: ribosomal RNA, 491 nt
Filed under: uncultured bacterium
Lineage: Bacteria
Description: partial 16S ribosomal RNA
Rfam family: Bacterial small subunit ribosomal RNA
Source: RNAcentral
AGUGAACGCUGGCGGUAGGCCUAACACAUGCAAGUCGAACGGCAGCACAGUAAGAGCUUGCUCUUACGGGUGGCGAGUGGCGGACGGGUGAGGAAUACAUCGGAAUCUACUUUUUCGUGGGGGAUAACGUAGGGAAACUUACGCUAAUACCGCAUACGACCUACGGGUGAAAGCAGGGGAUCUUCGGACCUUGCGCGAUUGAAUGAGCCGAUGUCGGAUUAGCUAGUUGGCGGGGUAAAGGCCCACCAAGGCGACGAUCCGUAGCUGGUCUGAGAGGAUGAUCAGCCACACUGGAACUGAGACCCGGUCCAGACUCCUACGGGAGGCAGCAGUGGGGAAUAUUGGACAAUGGGCGCAAGCCUGAUCCAGCCAUACCGCGUGGGUAAAGAAGGCCUUCGGGUUGUAAAGCCCUUUUGUUGGGAAAGAAAAGCAGCAGGUUAAUACCCCGCUGUUCGGACGGUACCCAAAGAAUAAGCACCGGCUAACUUCGG